GUCCAGACUCCUACGGGAGGCAGCAGUGGGGGAUAUUGCACAAUGGGGGAAACCCUGAUGCAGCGACGCCGCGUGAGUGAAGAAGUAUUUCGGUAUGUAAAGCUCUAUCAGCAGGGAAGAAAAAAGACGGUACCUGACUAAGAAGCCCCGGCUAACUACGUGCCAGCAGCCGCGGUAAUACGUAGGGGGCGAGCGUUAUCCGGAUUCACUGGGUGUAAAGGGAGCGUAGACGGCCAUGCAAGCCAGGGGUGAAAGCCCGGGGCCCAACCCCGGGACUGCCCUUGGAACUGCAUGGCUGGAGUGCGGGAGGGGCAGGCGGAAUUCCUGGUGUAGCGGUGAAAUGCGUAGAUAUUAGGAGGAACACCAGUGGCGAAGGCGGCCUACUGGACGGUGACUGACGCUGAGGCUCGAAAGCGUGGGGAGCAAACAGGAUUAGAUACCCUAGUA
RNAcentral lists this ribosomal RNA (447 nucleotides) under uncultured bacterium. RNAcentral's name for it is "bacterial SSU rRNA". It matches the Rfam family "Bacterial small subunit ribosomal RNA", at positions 329 to 792 of the family's 1533-position model. The record is from RNAcentral.